GCUCCCUUCGUCUAGCGGUUAGGACGCCGGCCUCUCACGCCGGUAACAGGGGUUCGAUUCCCCUAGGGAGCGCCA
Molecule: transfer RNA, 75 nt
Filed under: Gammaproteobacteria bacterium
Lineage: Bacteria; Pseudomonadati; Pseudomonadota; Gammaproteobacteria
Also listed under: 5 other names
Description: tRNA-Glu
Rfam family: tRNA
About the family: Transfer RNA (tRNA) molecules are approximately 80 nucleotides in length. Their secondary structure includes four short double-helical elements and three loops (D, anti-codon, and T loops).
Source: RNAcentral